Danio rerio (zebrafish) is the source of this 627-nucleotide non-coding RNA. NCBI's taxonomy places the organism in Eukaryota, Metazoa, Chordata, Actinopteri, Cypriniformes, Danionidae. The record is from RefSeq and is a predicted model, not a curated record.
CCAACUACUUGCAGAGCACUUCUGGAGGCACUUUCUGAAAUACUACCUACCUGACCUUCAGGCACGGCAGAAGUGGAAAACCGAGAAGAGGACAUUAGAAAUUGGGGAUGUAGUCAUGAUAGUUGAUCCUCAACUCCCUCGUGCACUUUGGCCAGUGGGCAGAAUCACACAAGUGUUCCCUGGUGCAGAUGGUCGAGUGCGGACUGCUAAUGUGGAGGUUAAGGGCAAGACUUAUACCCGUAUUGUGGCUCGACUUAUACAGCUUCCAGCUCUACCUGAGGACGAAUAAUGCAUGUUAUGGAUCUUUUGUCAGAUGAGCGAAUUCAGUUCUGAAUUCGGGGGCGGCUGUGCAAAAGGACCACUGAUGUCUACGUCCCGGAUGACACCAACCAAUCAGUGCACAAUGCAACGCAGUAUCAUCGAGGUGGGCUGAGCUAAGAACUAGUUGAGAGCGACAGUGCACACGGGAGAUAACGCUGGCGAUAACACCUGCUAUCAAACUCACUCAGCAAAAAGAGACAAAACAGUCACUACUGGUAUACUGUGCUACAGUGUGCGUGUCUUAAAAAAACCACACAUAUGUUCCAUUGUAUACCAAGUGCUUCAGUAAAUGAAAAUCACAUCUAA